Pieris napi is the source of this 478-nucleotide long non-coding RNA. RefSeq lists it as uncharacterized. Lineage: Eukaryota; Metazoa; Arthropoda; Insecta; Lepidoptera; Pieridae. The transcript is spliced from 3 exons. The record is from RefSeq and is a predicted model, not a curated record.
AUUCAAUUGUUUAUACCUCAGUGUGAGAUGUGUCAAUCAGUAGCAGAGUCCUACGCUGGAAAAAGCAUUUUUAUCACUGGUUGUACAGGAUUCUUGGGGAAAGUACUCUUAGAGAAAAUACUCUACAGCUAUUCCGAUGUUAAAAAAGUCUACAUACUUCUUAGAGGGAAGCGGGGAUUGACGGUUCAAGAGCGCCUUAAGACUAUGCUAGAGCUACCAGUAUUUUCAAGACUUAAUAGAGAGAAUGCGAAAUUUAGUGACAAAAUAGAACCGAUAGUCGGUGACGUAAGUCAGGAAGGUCUUGGUAUCUCCCCAGAAGACAAAGUAACGCUUAUUAAUGAGGUAUGUAUGUAUAGCAGUCGCAAUAAUUUAAACACUAGUAUAAAGACUGCAUUAAUAACCUGUUUACACCCGCAUCAGUCUAAUGGCUAGAAUGUUUGCCAAGAACGAUUUAAAAGAAAAAUUUGGUUUAUUUUAA